RNAcentral lists this ribosomal RNA (445 nucleotides) under uncultured bacterium. RNAcentral describes it as "partial 16S ribosomal RNA". It matches the Rfam family "Bacterial small subunit ribosomal RNA", at positions 354 to 796 of the family's 1533-position model. The record is from RNAcentral.
GUGAGGAAUAUUGGUCAAUGGGCGGAAGCCUGAACCAGCCAAGUAGCGUGCAGGACGACGGCCCUAUGGGUUGUAAACUGCUUUUGUGCGGGGAUAAUGGUCGCCACGUGUGGCGUUUUGCAGGUACCGUACGAAUAAGGACCGGCUAAUUCCGUGCCAGCAGCCGCGGUAAUACGGAAGGUCCAGGCGUUAUCCGGAUUUAUUGGGUUUAAAGGGAGCGUAGGCCGCGGGUUAAGUGUGUUGUGAAAUGUAGACGCUCAACGUCUGAGUUGCAGCGCAUACUGGCCUGCUUGAGUACGCACAACGUUGGCGGAAUUCGUCGUGUAGCGGUGAAAUGCUUAGAUAUGACGAAGAACUCCGAUUGCGAAGGCAGCUGACGGGAGCGGGACUGACGCUGAUGCUCGAAAGUGCGGGUAUCGAACAGGAUUAGAUACCCGAGUAGUCC